Molecule: ribosomal RNA, 504 nt
Filed under: uncultured Bacteroidota bacterium
Lineage: Bacteria; Pseudomonadati; Bacteroidota
Description: bacterial SSU rRNA
Rfam family: Bacterial small subunit ribosomal RNA
Source: RNAcentral
GAGUUUGAUCAUGGCUCAGGACGAACGCUGGCGGCGGGCUUAACACAUGCAAGUCGAACGAUCCCUUCGGGGAUAGUGGCGCACGGGUGCGUAACGCGUAGGCAAUCUGCCCUCAGGUGGGGAAUAACCAUCGGAAACGGUGGCUAAUACCGCAUAUGGUCUGGUGACCGCAUGGCCAUCAGAUGAAAGUCUUCGGACGCCUGAGGAUGAGCCUGCGUCGGAUUAGCUAGUUGGUGAGGUAACGGCUCACCAAGGCGACGAUCCGUAGCGGGUCUGAGAGGAUGAUCCGCCACACUGGCACUGAGACACGGGCCAGACUCCUACGGGAGGCAGCAGUGAGGAAUCUUGCGCAAUGGGCGAAAGCCUGACGCAGCCACGCCGCGUGGAGGAAGACACCCCUAUGGGGCGUAAACUCCUUUUAUAUGGGAAGAACGUCCUGCCCGGCAGGAUUUGACGGUACCAUAUGAAUAAGCACCGGCUAACUCCGUGCCAGCAGCCGCGGUA